This is a long non-coding RNA of Sabethes cyaneus, 2641 nucleotides long. RefSeq lists it as uncharacterized. The transcript is spliced from 3 exons. Lineage: Eukaryota; Metazoa; Arthropoda; Insecta; Diptera; Culicidae. The record is from RefSeq and is a predicted model, not a curated record.
AGUAGCAUGAAAUAUGCUGAUGUUUGUGUGUACUUUCUGGUUAGAUUGGAUAGCCGAGCUUUAUGCUAUCCACCAUUUGAGUGUGUGUUGGAUUUGGUUGAAUUUUGAGCUACCAGUAGGCUUGCAGAAAAGAAAUGUCAUUCCCGUGUUUUGGUGCUAGUGUUGGUAUCACGAUUUGAUACAACCGUCUGACAGUUCAGUAGCUGUCAUUUUUUUUAUAUCGAUGUGUAGAAACGGUGGGCGAUGUUAGAGCGAGUUGAUUAACACACACAAUUUUCUUGCUUCUUUCGAAUCGGUUCGUGUGUGCAGUUCGUGAGGCCCUUUUGAUCGUCGGUCGUGUCUAGCUGUAGGUGCAGCUUUCAAACAGGGUUUUUCCAGUAGAUUAAGGUCAUCUGUGUGCAGACAGCAUAGGUGUCACGAAGAAAAAUGCUAAUUUGCUACCACACACUAGCGCCGCCACCUUGAACGAUGACAACUUCAUAGAAGAUCUGGCACGGAACACAGGGUUCACGAAUACUGAUGGAGAAAAAAAUUACGAGUUGGAAAGAAUCAACUCAAAAAGUGCGAUUUAGAUGUGUACCGAAUACAAAUGGUGAAGAAGAUCGGUAUUAAAAACAAUUUAGUUCCUUUUUGUUUGAUGUGGUUCAAGAAUUGAACGGUAAAAGUGCUGCAGACGGGUUUUACAAGACGUGAACGACAUGGCAGGUUUUCUGAACUUUUGACAGCGCAUACAGAGGCCCGUGCUGAAGGUAAAUUAUCAACACAUAUAAGCAAAUACCUAGUGGGUGUAUGCGCAAAAUGAUGGCUGUACGAGACGAAAAUACUGAAGAAAGAAGAAAUCCAGAAUUGCUGUAAUUUUCUUUUGAAGUCAGUGCAAAUGGCAAGGAUCUGGUAGAGGAUGAUAACAUAGAAGUGUGACAGAUUCCCGAAAAAAAAGUUCAACACAUAUAAGAGUGUUCCAUAAUUUUAAUUAAUGAAUGAAACGUUGAAUCACGCGGUAGGGUGUGUUUACGUGAAGUGUGUCUAUUCGAUGCAAUUUUCUCGGUUCCUCGGUAGUGUUUGUGUCGUGACGCAAUAAAGUGGGACUUUCAUCGUCGAAUAUUCACAAACACACGGACGCUAACGAAUGCUAUCGCGACAAACUGGCGACUGAAGAUUCGUUUUAACCAGGCAAAAGGAUCAACGGAAUGGAAGCAUUUUAGCUGGUGAUGUACGUGUGUUUUUUCUAGAGUGUCGAUAAUUUGCGUGUACAGAGCUAUGUGUGUUACAAAUCAUGCAAUCUAACUGCUGAAGAAAAACCCAGUGAACACGUAUCGUGUUAAAUUGUAAAUAUCUCCGACGAUCGUAUCCCGUUAUUACUUAUCUAGAUUGAUCAUAGACAGUUAUACCGGAAUAGUUUCUAGCAUGCUUGAAAAAAAAGUCCUGUGAGUGGCUGUAUUAUAUGUAAAAUUUAAUCGAAAAAAAUCGCCUAUUACCCUAAUCAUGACAAAAUCCGACAGUGUAUCAUAAAGCAGUCAACGGAUUGUUAGAGUGCAGAAAAAUUAGCUUGCGCAGUUUUAUUGAAUCGUGCAUGAGUGACAAAAAAAUUGACUGCUGAUUGGGGAAGAUCGAUUGACUUGAAUCGAAGAAAAAUCCUUGGUGCUCGGAAAUCGGAAAAUGCAGCGUCGCGAAACCACAAACAAGGAACAACAGUCAAACCAACAGCACCGUGAAGGUCGCGAACGUGACGUCGUACGACAGACAAGGUGAGCUUCAAGCUUGUACCUCACUCACUGACUCACGCACAUAAUCGUAUCGAUUUUGUGUGUGUGUGCGAGCGCGCGCAGACGUCGCCGCUCGGUCGCCUGACUGAUAGUGGCAAAGCAUAGUGCGCGCGGUGUGCGAUCGGUGAAGUGAAGUGAGGAGGAUUCAGAAGAAGUCAAGCACAGAAAAAAACACUACUAAACUGCGACCAGUGCAUUUUCGGUGCGUAUGUGUGUGCAAGUGUGUUCAACAGAAGACCGCAAUACGAACGAGUCCGAGAAUCCAGUGAAAUAGAGAAAAGUCAGUCAGAUCCAGCCAGCACACCAUCACCCGCUGAGUCACAAUUGGCACGGUAGGAGUCAUUUGCCAGUGACCUCCGAGAUGAAUGCUGAACGGUAAGAUAUUUAUGUUUUGUUUACUUUCUUUCCAACGGGAAAACUGAGGAAUACUUGUGCGUUGGUUUCGUGCAGAUAAUGCCAAGGUUUUGCAAAUUUUGUUUAUACAUACCAUAUAUUUUAAUCCUAUUCGAUAAUUUAGAACAAAUACAAAAAAGCUAUCCCUGUAGAUGGGCUCAUAGUGAAUAAAGAGAUUGAAGCAAUGUCCGUUCUGCUGAGAUAACAGUUGAUAAGAUAGUCUAUGUAUUUUUGGCAGAAUCGUAGGCUUUUUGGUGAUAAAUAACAACAAAGCUCUCGUGGUUGUUUUUUUAUCUGGUGUAUUUUUAUAUAUAAACUAGCUGACCCGACAAACUUCGUAUUGCCACAAAUUAAACUGUGUUGUACAUAAAUCGUGAAUCUCGGAUGACCUUUGUCACAAUCUUGAGUUUCUGGGGAGUUCAUGGGUGUUUUAAUAUACAAAUUUUCCUCACAGUAGAGUAGAAAACAACUCCCCCCAUUGCUUA